AAGAUUCACUUAACAUUCAGGGUCCAGCAACAAAAAACCCCGACUUUCGGGGUUUUUUGUUAUCUGACUUUUUGAAAGUCGGAUAGUUGCUUGGUAUUUAAAUUGGGCUCUGAGCCCUUUUUUU
Molecule: small RNA, 124 nt
Filed under: Vibrio xiamenensis
Lineage: Bacteria; Pseudomonadati; Pseudomonadota; Gammaproteobacteria; Vibrionales; Vibrionaceae
Description: Enterobacteria rnk leader
Rfam family: Gammaprotebacteria rimP leader
Source: RNAcentral